Long non-coding RNA from Lolium perenne, 3836 nucleotides. RefSeq lists it as uncharacterized. The record is from RefSeq and is a predicted model, not a curated record. NCBI's taxonomy places the organism in Eukaryota, Viridiplantae, Streptophyta, Magnoliopsida, Poales, Poaceae.
UCUAAGCAACGUCAGUGUGCCACGACCCACGAUGCAGUCAAUGUGCAGAGAAAGUACAUCUUGGUCUCACCGGUGGCUCUACAGAAGCCCACCCACACAAGCUACGCAGCAGCUCCACGGUCAUGUGGAGCACAACAUCGACAUGUUGACCAGUCCGAUGACCACCAGCCCCGGAACUCCAGUGUUGGAAUAAGCUAAUUCGUCUUCUCGAGCUUGCAGCUGCCUUCGAAAGCCGUAGGUCAGUUCUUCUGCAGUCAGGUCUGCGAGUCUGUGGCUCCGGCAUGAUCAUUUUCUAGGAUUUCCUUAAUUUUCCAGAUACUUCACAAUUCAUAUUUGAAGAGCUUGAUAAUUGCAAGUAUUUUCCCUCUGCAUAUUACAAGGUAUUUGUGAUGUUCAACAUACAGGGCUGCAGAGUAUGAUUUUGAUUGCCGUUGGAAAUUGCAAUCUCAUAAGCCACUUUGUUGUUCCUAACUUUGUAGUUGGCUUGCAAUUUUGCAUCUACCAGAAUGAUAUGGUGUCCUCAUAUCAGGACCUUAAAACUUAAAAUCACAAAAAAAUAUCAGGUUAUGUUAGCAUAUGAUUCGCACAUCAGUUUUCCAUUUUAUGAUUUUCAGUAAUUUUGAUAAACUCACCUAUAUAUAUGCAUGAACAUGCUACAUUUAGCUUUAAAAAAUUAAUAUCAGCAUUGCAAUUAGGACUAGCGAAUAGAGCGAUGAGCAAGUUGUAUAUGGAUGAUGACCUUAUCUCAAAUUUAUAUCUUAGGGGUUACUUUUAUCUGCACUACAAAUGGCAUUAGACGUUUCCUCUGUUGAAACUACAAUAAGUAUCAGCAAGAUGGUUGUAUCAAACUGACAAAUAAUUGCAUGUUUUUCUUGAUAUAUAUGAUAAACAUGUGGUACAUAGCUAGCUAGAAAGAAAUGCACGUUUUUCUUAAUAUCUAUUAAUACCCUGUGCUACCUAGCUAGCUGUAAAGAUAAGUCACUGUUAAAUAAUUAUACAUGUGCAUACCUCUGAAAUAGAAACAUACUUAGCUUCUCCUGCUAGCCAAGAAGAUACUUUUAUAACUGUUACUAUCUGAAUUGAUUUUUUUUACUAAAUGCUUGAUUGUUUCAAGUCUAAACCAAAAAAAGACUAAACUGAACCAUUUUUGGUGCAAGAUAGAAGACCUAUAUAUACAUAAUCAGUUGUCGAGUAACUGAACUUCAUUGCUUGACCAGGACCUGACUAACUAAGCAACUUCAUACUUCUGAUAUCUCUAACCAGAUUUCGUUAGCUUAGUAGGAAAUUAUAUAAUUUUAAUUCCAGUGGUCAUGCUUACUAUUUAAUUUCACCAUAUUAUGAUGGGGAAUUUGUUGUGACUCUCCAUAGAGCUUCAUCCCGAGAUACUAUAAUUGUACUAUCCGUCAGAAUGAUUGUUCCUCAGCUUUCAAGUAUCUCAUGAUUUCUUUUCCUGAAUUGCAUGGGACUCAUGUCACAGUUACGGUUUCGUUUCUCAUUUAUAAAGAUAUAUACCUUGCAGUCGUGAAGCUUUUGUAAGUGUAAGCAUAAGCCCUUUUGAUGUUGCAGCCAGUGAAAACAUUAUUGUUUACACUUCAGAGUUCCUAAUUCAGCAGGCUGGGUUGCGAAAACCCAGGAAUACUAUCACGUCUGAUUGAAAAAAUUCUAUGGAUUAGAAAUACAUUUUCUUGUGUUACAUUAUGUGCAUUGCCAAAGGAGUGUACCACUACGAAAGCUAAGGAGUUCAUUCAUUGCAACAAGAGAUAAAAAUAACUGUACAUUCCGAGGUUAUCGUAUCUUUACUGGUUUUGGUAAGUAUUUUAUCAAGAUUAAGCAUCUUAUUAAAUAUUUUUUCCAUUAGUUUUUAUGCACCCCACAUUCUCUGAGUAAUUUAUUGGGCAUUCGAAUUCAAAUGCAUGUAAUAUCACUUUUUAACGGUAAUACAUGUGCUUUUAGACAUGUUUAUGCACUCUUAGUUGUCUAAUAUAACGUGGACAUUCAUCGUUUGCUAAAUUGGAAUUCAGUUUUGAGUUUUCUCAUGAAAGAAUAUUGCCGCCGCUGUGAACCUUUAGCCAUCAGAAAUUCAGGAUACAUAUGCUCCGUUUUAGUGAAUAACUUAACCAUAUCAGGGACACCUAAAGGGUUUUUGUCCAUAUUGUAAUUUCUAUAGGCAUAGCAUAUAAGAUUGGCGAUUCGCAUUUUCCUUGGCAUUUUGUGUCUAAUGUUCAAAUAUCUAGGAUGUUUUCUUCAGUAUUCACAAACCAACUUUAUAUUCUUUAGUAUCACGCGAUAUCAAAUAGGUAGUGUACUGUCUUUUCUGAAUGCAAUGUUUUAGAAUUUACUUAUUUGUCUUUUAGGACAUAACACAUGACAAUUGAACUAUUAUUUCCUUUAGUUGUGCUUUUUUAUUCGAACCAUGCAGGACCACUGCAUGUGAUCUAUUAAGGAGAAGGCUGCAAGGAGCCGAGUACACGACCAAAAAGUACAUAUCAGCGAUGAACAGAAGAACAUAAGAAAGAGAGAGCAAAAUGAGCUGUCACGCCCGCUGAUCUAAACUGUGAACAAAAGCAAGAACCUGGAACCUAUGCUUCUAGGCUGAACCUUGCCAUUGCUCUCAUUCAGCCUGGAGAAUUAAGAAACGACCCUUGCUGGCUUUAGCCCAAAGUCUCGCGCCAGUUUUGGUUUGAUCGACAAUUUUUUGGAUGGUCUUGAACUCUUUUCUGAAAACUCUGCCAUUCCUCUCUUGCCAGAUCGCUCAAGUAGUAAGAAACACCAUUAUGUUCAAUAUUUUCUUCUCGGGUGACUAUAUGCGUGCUUUUUAGGAGCAUAUGAUGAGUCGCCGUAUUUAUCUUCGGGGUGCAGCAAAUUGGGUGUGCAGGUGCAAGUUUAUCAGCUGCCCCGGAAUCUGGAUUGUCCAACAUGACAUUAAACAGUGGCUCGUGGAUGAGAUAUCUCAAAUCAAACCGUGGCACUUAACUAUUUCUCAAGCUGAUGCUCUGGUGGUUUAUGUGUAUUGUGAUCUAAGAUCUUCAAUUUUGUCCACAUCAUUGGAGGUGAUACCGUUUCAAUUGGCCCGUCUUUAUCUGCAUCACAUGGGAUUGGUGAUCGUUCUUUCAAUGACAUUCUAUUUUGUUAUUUCCUAUACAGCCAUACAAGUAAGAGCGCCCUUUAUCGAAAAUACAGCCACACAAGUUAGUCCUCUCCCUUUUUUGUAAGGAAGUUCAUCGAAUUCUAUGUCAGGUUUACUACAUAGGAGGUACUUCGAGUCCCGUUGGUCAUGUUUGAUGUAGGCCACUAUUUAAUUUAUUUUCCCCACUUGUGUUUCUUGCAGGCCAACUGAUGUCCAGCACUAAAUCCCUUUCGACGAUAAAGAAGAGCUCACUCCAGUUUGGUGCCUUCCCACGCCAACCAAUCAAAGAGCUCAUCGUCCUCUCCUUUGAUGACGAUGAAGAAGACAAACCCCAUAACAGAAAACCCAAAGACAAACUGGAGUGGGAAGACUACACCACCUCUUUUAAGUUUGUCAUCAGAAAUAUGAUCACCUAUGGACUAGGCACUGGGAAAGAACUAGAUAGUGUCUGGAUGAAGAAGUGAAGUUCGUGCAUGCCUGCAAGCAGUUUGAGAAGGCGCUAUUGUGCAGCUUCUCUCUUGUUGACUAUAGUCUAGACCUUCUUUAGAGAACUUAUAUCUUGGGCAGGGCCGGUCCAUACAUUUUCAGGACCCUGGGCGAGAUAAUAAAAUUAGGGCCCUUGUUGACAAAAAAAAUAUAAUACAUUGUAUUCCAAAAUCAACCCAACAUAUAUCGAUGGUAUUUGAAGUGUUGAGAUUCUACCGGUUCA